Myodes glareolus (Bank vole) is the source of this 759-nucleotide non-coding RNA. Lineage: Eukaryota; Metazoa; Chordata; Mammalia; Rodentia; Cricetidae. The record is from RefSeq and is a predicted model, not a curated record.
GCAACCCCUCAGGGACUUCCUCUCCUUCGACAGGGGCUUCUGUGGGUUCGGCACCUGCGGAGGGAAGGGCAGAACAUGUUACAGUUAGGCUGCGUGGGGAAGGAGUGGGGUCCCGCCAGGGGCUUUAAUCAGGUCAGAGCCCCAGGGGCGAAGGGGAGAAGGCCACUGGACGUUCAGCUGCGGCCCCCGGGCCCAUCCCCCACACAGGGAGCGGGGGAGUUGAGGCGGCCGGCACUCUGCGUCCCUCCCCACGCGUGUCGGCGCCCCGCGGGGAGGGAACGGUGCCCGGGGCAAGGAGCCUCUGCGCUCUAGCCAGUGCCCGUUGCUGCCUUGGCAUUUUCAGAGGGGAGGGACUGAGUCUGGGAAGGGGAAGGGGGAGGUGCGCUCCCUCCCAGGCUCCGGCUCUUUCCCUUCAUCCCGCCUGUUCUUUAGUGGAGGAACAGAACCCCACCGCGGAGGGACGUCUUGACUGUGACACCCUGGUGGCGACCGAGGCCUGAGUGUCUUAGGAUGUCUGCUUGUGUGUAUUUGGGAAGGACCAGCGUUCUUAUUUCAGUGCCCGACCAACAGAGAAAGGAUCAAUCACCUCCAGAGUCAGCCUCCAGAACAGGUGGGGGAAACAGAUGUGUGCUACCAGCCUGGCAAGCCAAAAAGUUGAGAUCUGAAAAUGUGGGUUCACCGAGCAAAGAGCCUUGUCCUCUGACUUUGGGAUAAAUCACUUCACCUCUUUGGGCCUGCUUCUUCAAAUUAAUGUGAUAU